Molecule: ribosomal RNA, 3135 nt
Filed under: Triticum aestivum (bread wheat)
Lineage: Eukaryota; Viridiplantae; Streptophyta; Magnoliopsida; Poales; Poaceae
Description: partial small subunit ribosomal RNA
Source: RNAcentral
AUGCUUGCCGGCAGUAUGAAUAACGAUAAUGAUAAUGUUAUUGACUUGAUAUCGGAUAGUGGUGAUGAUUUUGAUUCUGACUCUGACGAUCCAACUUCUACAAAUGUCACAUCUGGCGAGAAUGGCGGAGGGCAAUCAGUCUGCUUUCAGGACGAAGAUUUGUUGAGGAGCACUCCCUCUUCUUCCAGGUCUAAUAUAAAUGAUAAUGGUCAGUACAGAACUCUGCCACCUUCCUUCGCAAAUGAUAUUGAUAUUGAGAAAGCCCGUUAUACACUAGGUUCGGGGGACAGAACUUAUCCACACUCAAAUUCGGGGCCAAGACACGAUUUUGGAAGGGCCUGUCUCUCGUCCAGUAGACUUGAUAUCGCAGUGAGGGAGCGCAAUGGUUUGGCAGUGGAUGCAAAUGGCAAUAACAAGAGGAUUCUUCCUUCAUCUUUUUCCAGUGGAAGCACGUCAAAAUCUACACAUCCAAGUGUUGCAAGUGAGAGCCAUAAACUCCCAGCACGUUUUACCAAUGGAAAUUCACAAAGGUUGGAUGAUAAUAGUAUGGGAACAAAUGAUGCCAAUGGCACUGGGCAACCUUCAUCUUCAAGGUUCUCAAUCCGAAGCUACUCUGUGAGUAAUGCCCAGAAGGAUACCAUGGAAAAUGACGAUGAUGAUGUCUAUGUAUAUGAUAGUCCUAGUUCACAUAGGAUGCUGCCUGCAUCUUUUGGAGGCCAUAACUCUGCCAGUAACAAUGAACUUGCUAAUGUUAAUGACAUGCAAGCUCGUCCAAACCUAGAAAAUAGGUUUAUGGAUCCUGACGAGAGCGCAGUAUAUCAAGAGGCUCUUCAGAACAUUAGUCUUGAUAAAAGGGAAGAUGAUCUCGAUGAGGGUGUCUUAUCAGUAUCUCUGCUUAAGCACCAGAAAAUGGCAUUAGCUUGGAUGGUCUCGAAGGAGAAUAGUUCACAUUGUGCAGGAGGAAUUCUUGCAGAUGAUCAGGGUCUUGGGAAGACUGUGUCUACAAUUGCCCUUAUACUAAAACAGAAGAGUCAGCAGUCUAAGUUCAUGUGUGCUGAUUCAGAUCCUUUGAAAUCUGAAGCGCUAAACCUUGAUGAAGACGAUGAGGCAGUGACUGUUGUUGAUAAGGCGAAACAGUCUAUGAACGAUGAACCCAAGAAGGAUUUAGACGCUAGUUUAUCAACAGCAGCUAGUACUAGUGAUGUUAAACCAUCUAGUAGUCAUAUGGAUAUUGUUCCAAAUAGAAUUGUUGAAAGCAAAGUUGAAUGCAAGAAGACUAAAACAGGCACAUCAUCUGCAUCAUCGACCAUGCGAUCCAUGACGAGGCCAGCUGCAGGUACUUUAGUAGUAUGCCCUGCUAGUGUUCUUAAGCAGUGGGCUAAUGAAUUGAAUGACAAGGUUAGUCAAAGUGCUAGGUUAUCUGUUUUAGUCUACCAUGGUGGUGCAAGGACCAAAGAUCCAAGUGAGCUGGCAAAAUAUGAUGUCGUUGUCACGACAUACACAAUUGUGGCGAAUGAAGUGCCUAAACAGAAUGCUGAUGAUGACCAAGAUCAAAAGAAUGGGGAAGAAUCUUCUGUUGGUAAUAAAAGAAAACCACCAAGCAAAUCUAAGAAAAGGAAGAAGAAACUUAAGGAUUCAGAUAUUGACCUUGACAGUGGUCCAGUUGCCCGGGUACGGUGGUUUCGGGUGGUUCUUGAUGAAGCUCAGACGAUAAAAAAUUUCCGAACUCAAGUGGCUAAAGGCUGUUGUGGACUAAGAGCAAAAAGGAGAUGGUGCUUAUCAGGAACACCUAUACAAAAUUCAAUCGAUGAGCUGUACAGCUAUUUCCGUUUCUUGAAAUAUGAUCCAUAUUCUACAUAUAGCUCAUUUUGUACAAUGAUAAAGCACCCAAUUGCUAGAAAUGCAGUCCAUGGGUAUAAGAAACUACAAACUGUGUUGAGGAUAGUUCUCCUGCGUCGCACAAAAGAAACUACGAUAAAUGGAGAACCGAUCAUAAACUUACCUCCAAAGACAAUUAAGUUGCAAAAGGUGGAUUUCACAAAGGAGGAGCGAGCUUUUUAUUUGACACUGGAAGAACGUUCUCGGCAACAGUUCAAGGAAUAUGCUGCUGCCGGAACAGUCAAACAAAACUAUGCCAAUAUCCUUUUAUUGUUGUUGCGCCUUAGGCAGGCUUGUGAUCAUCCUCUUCUUGUGAAGGGGCAUCAGUCAGUAUUUAAAGGCGAUGGUUCUAUAGAGAUGGCAAAACAACUUUCCAAGGAAAGGGUAAUAGAUUUGCUUGCAAGGCUGGAAGUGUCAGCGCUUUGUGCUGUAUGCCGUGACACACCUGAGGAUGCUGUUGUGGCGAUGUGUGGUCAUAUUUUCUGCUAUCAGUGUAUAUACGAGCGGAUAACAACUGAUGAAAACAUGUGCCCCGUCCCUAAUUGCAGAAACACGUUAAGUACUGAAUCAGUAUUUUCAUCAGGGACAUUAAAGAUUUGUAUCUCCGGCAAGACCAGUACUCAUGCGAUAGCGAGUUCAUCAGCAGACGAUGAGCUAUCUUCUAUCAGUCAAAGCAGUUACAUCUCCUCGAAGAUACAAGCAACCGUCGAUAUACUGAAUUCUAUCAUUAACAUGCAUGCCCUUACAGACAGUGAUACCAUUGAAUCAAAUCCAAACCGAGUAUCCCCUGUGAAAGCCAUUGUCUUCUCGCAGUGGACUGGCAUGCUGGAUUUGCUGGAGUUUUCACUGAACAGCAAUCUUAUACAGUACAGGAGACUAGACGGAACAAUGUCCCUCAAUUCAAGAGAUAAAGCCGUGAAGGAUUUUAACAUCGACCCAGAGGUUAGAGUUAUGAUUAUGUCAUUGAAAGCGGGUAAUCUUGGUCUGAACAUGGUUGCUGCUUGCCAUGUAAUACUCCUUGAUCUUUGGUGGAAUCCUUAUGCUGAGGACCAGGCAAUUGAUAGAGCACACAGAAUUGGUCAGACUCGUCCUGUCACUGUCUCUCGUCUAACCAUUACAGAUACGGUGGAAGAUCGUAUUUUAUCUCUGCAGGAGGAAAAGAGAGCGAUGGUCAACUCUGCUUUCGGUGAAGACAAAUCCAGUGCCCACGCUACUCGGCUCACUGUAGAUGAUCUGAGGUAUCUGUUUAGGAUAUGA